AUGGCGAAGUGUCUCGCCGCCGCGCUCCUGCUACUGGUGGUGCUCGCCUCCUGCGACGGGAGGGAGCUGAACGAGAAGGUUGCAGCGGCACGCGGUGCCGGCGUCGGCGAGUCCAAGGCGAUGGGGUUGCCGGACUUGCCAGCUGUGACGCUCCCCACGGCCCCGACGCUCCCGACGCUCCCCACGGCCCCGACGCUCCCCACACUCCCGACGCUCCCGACGCUCCCGCUGGUGGGAACCAUUACCGGUACCAGUACAAUUACCGGCCCGGUGGUGGCGCUUCCGGCGAUCCCUGCUCACCCUUGA
Molecule: ribosomal RNA, 306 nt
Filed under: Triticum aestivum (bread wheat)
Lineage: Eukaryota; Viridiplantae; Streptophyta; Magnoliopsida; Poales; Poaceae
Description: partial small subunit ribosomal RNA
Source: RNAcentral